CCUACGGGGGGCUGCAGUGGGGAAUAUUGGACAAUGGGCGAAAGCCUGAUCCAGCCAUGCCGCGUGUGUGAAGAAGGCCUUCGGGUUGUAAAGCACUUUCAGUGGGGAAGAAAGCCUUGGGGCUAAUACCCUCGAGGAAGGACAUCACCCACAGAAGAAGCACCGGCUAACUCCGUGCCAGCAGCCGCGGUAAUACGGAGGGUGCGAGCGUUAAUCGGAAUUACUGGGCGUAAAGCGCGCGUAGGCGGUCUGAUAAGCCGGUUGUGAAAGCCCCGGGCUCAACCUGGGAACGGCAUCCGGAACUGUCAGGCUAGAGUGCAGGAGAGGAAGGUAGAAUUCCCGGUGUAGCGGUGAAAUGCGUAGAGAUCGGGAGGAAUACCAGUGGCGAAGGCGGCCUUCUGGACUGACACUGACGCUGAGGUGCGAAAGCGUGGGUAGCAAACAGGAUUAGAUACCCGUGUAGUC
RNAcentral lists this ribosomal RNA (465 nucleotides) under Vreelandella stevensii. RNAcentral's name for it is "partial 16S ribosomal RNA". It matches the Rfam family "Bacterial small subunit ribosomal RNA", at positions 338 to 795 of the family's 1533-position model. Lineage: Bacteria; Pseudomonadati; Pseudomonadota; Gammaproteobacteria; Oceanospirillales; Halomonadaceae. The record is from RNAcentral.